RNAcentral lists this ribosomal RNA (497 nucleotides) under uncultured bacterium. Its description in RNAcentral is "partial 16S ribosomal RNA". It matches the Rfam family "Bacterial small subunit ribosomal RNA", at positions 28 to 507 of the family's 1533-position model. The record is from RNAcentral.
GAUGAACGCUGGCGGCGUGCCUAAUACAUGCAAGUCGAGCGAACAGACGAGGAGCUUGCUCCUCUGACGUUAGCGGCGGACGGGUGAGUAACACGUGGAUAACCUACCUAUAAUACUGGGAUAACUUCGGGAAACCGGAGCUAAUACCGGAUAAUAUAUUGAACCGCAUGGUUCAAUAGUGAAAGACGGUUUUGCUGUCACUUAUAGAUGGAUCCGCGCCGCAUUAGCUAGUUGGUAAGGUAACGGCUUACCAAGGCAACGAUGCGUAGCCGACCUGAGAGGGUGAUCGGCCACACUGGAUCUGAGACACGGUCCAGACUCCUACGGGAGGCAGCAGUGGGGAAUAUUCCGCAAUGGGCGAAAGCCUGACGGAGCAACGCCGCGUGAGUGAUGAAGGUCUUCGGAUCGUAAAACUCUGUUAUUAGGGAAGAACAAAUGUGUAAGUAACUAUGCACGUCUUGACGGUACCUAAUCAGAAAGCCACGGCUAACUACGUG